GCUAUUGCCCUCUCACAUCCCUUUUGCUCUCAUUGGCACCACACCUCUCUCCUGCCCUGUCUCUCUUACGGCUCUCAUGCUCCCGGUGACCAUGCUCCUAUCUCCUGACCUUGCUACCAUCUCUGCCACUGUUGUGCUCCCCACGUAUGGCGUUGGCCCGUCCCUCAUCGAUUAGGCCAUAGGUGAGGGUGUUGCACUCUUGACUCUUAGGUUGAAGUAUUAAAAGCAUCUUCCUACAGGGGGUAGCGAUAUCUGAGCGCCUAUCAUCUUCCUCACAUGCUGAUCUCCUCAUCUCUUCUCUCCAUACAUCCCUCUCUCCUCUCAUAACUGUGGCCC
This 336-nucleotide long non-coding RNA is filed under the name Sorghum bicolor (sorghum). Its description in RNAcentral is "long non-coding RNA (SBIC_LNC016559)". Lineage: Eukaryota; Viridiplantae; Streptophyta; Magnoliopsida; Poales; Poaceae. The record is from RNAcentral.